This 402-nucleotide ribosomal RNA is filed under the name uncultured bacterium. RNAcentral describes it as "bacterial SSU rRNA". It matches the Rfam family "Bacterial small subunit ribosomal RNA", at positions 355 to 774 of the family's 1533-position model. The record is from RNAcentral.
UGGGGAAUAUUGCACAAUGGGCGAAAGCCUGAUGCAGCAACGCCGCGUGAGUGAUGAAGGCCUUCGGGUUGUAAAGCUCUGUCUUCUGGGACGAUAAUGACGGUACCAGAGGAGGAAGCCACGGCUAACUACGUGCCAGCAGCCGCGGUAAUACGUAGGUGGCAAGCGUUGUCCGGAUUUACUGGGCGUAAAGGAUGCGUAGGCGGAUACUUAAGUCAGAUGUGAAAAUCCCGGGCUUAACUUGGGAACUGCAUUUGAAACUGGGUAUCUAGAGUGCGGGAGAGGAGAGUGGAAUUCCUAGUGUAGCGGUGAAAUGCGUAGAGAUUAGGAAGAACACCAGUGGCGAAGGCGACUUUCUGGACCGUAACUGACGCUGAGGCAUGAAAGCGUGGGGAGCAAACA